RNAcentral lists this ribosomal RNA (1242 nucleotides) under Triticum aestivum (bread wheat). RNAcentral's name for it is "partial small subunit ribosomal RNA". The record is from RNAcentral. Lineage: Eukaryota; Viridiplantae; Streptophyta; Magnoliopsida; Poales; Poaceae.
AUGACCCCGCCGGGUGGUGUCUGGCAUGACCCAAUCAUGCGGUCCACCCACUACCGUCGAUAUGUGUUAUUCUUCUACUUCAACGCCGCGGCAAUCGCUUUGUCACUAAUGGUCGUCAUACUCACCCUCGUCCUCACCGCCUGCCCCAAGAAUAGCAGGUCCAAGUUCAGUACCGAUCUGCUGCUGGGGCUUUUGAUGCUGAUGGCCACGUUGGCCUUCAUGGUGGCCUAUUGUACUGGGGCUUGCCCGGACAAAUUCAGGCUUGUCGUCUUCUAUGUGAUGGUGUCCAUUAUCCUGGUCAAUGUUAUGCUUCAGUCUUUAAUUUUCAUUUGUAUUCCUGAAGAAGACUCAGAGUCAGACUACCGGAAGCUCCUGGCGCCGCUAACAAUGUUCUUGACGGCCAUCGCCUACGUGGCCGGGCUGAGCACGCCGGGUGGCUUCUGGGACAGCGCCGAGGGAGGCCACCAUCCAGGCGACGCCGUUUGGCAGGACGGCCACAUGGCUGGUGAUCCCAUACUCCUAUCGACCAACGCCGGGAGGUAUAAAGCCUUCUUCUACUGCAACACGGUUGCCUUUGCGGCCUCGUUCCUUGCCAUCUUUCUGGCCCAGAAAAGUUACCUGAACGAGCACCACGCACUGCAAGCGGCCAUGAUAUUGUACUUGCUUGGCCUCAUCGUCGCAUAUGCAAUCGGGAGCUGCCGGGACCAAAUAUUCUCCAUGUAUGCCGUGGGCAUAGCUGGUGCCGCCGUGGUCUACGUGGUCGUCCACGUUCAAUAUUUCACGCUGGGCAGCGAAGAUGAAGCGCCGGUUGUCCUCAAAAAGAUAAAAGAUGAUGCGUUGGUGGACAAGAAGGGACACCGUUUCCUCCUCUUCGCAAUCCUGGUCGCAAGCAUCACUUACCAAGCCGGCUUGACCCCACCAGGCGGCUUCCUGCUCCAGGACGACAUCCAGUCCGGGCACCGUGCGGGCGACCCAGUUCUCCUCUACAACUAUCCACGCCGCUACAAGGUCUUCUUCUACUGCAACUCGCCCAUGCUGUGGGCCGGCGUAGGCGUAGCAGACACGCCCUCGGUUGUGGACGAAGCCGGUGGCAUGGGUGACCGCGGACUCCCAGGGCUCGGCGACACGGGUGACCGCGGUGACCCAAGAGUUGGUGUAGAGGGUGACACCGUGCUACCGCUCGCCUGCGGACUCGAGGCGCUGCCGGAGUCCAGCUCGUGCUCACCGGGGCCGGUGGUAUAA